RNAcentral lists this ribosomal RNA (254 nucleotides) under uncultured bacterium. RNAcentral's name for it is "partial 16S ribosomal RNA". It matches the Rfam family "Bacterial small subunit ribosomal RNA", at positions 524 to 776 of the family's 1533-position model. The record is from RNAcentral.
GACAGAGGGUGCAAACGUUGUUCGGAAUUACUGGGCGUAAAGGGCUCGUAGGCGGCCAACUAAGUCAUACGUGAAAUCCCUCGGCUUAACCGGGGAACUGCGUCUGAUACUGGAUGGCUUGAGUUCGGGAGAGGGAUGCGGAAUUCCAGGUGUAGCGGUGAAAUGCGUAGAUAUCUGGAGGAACACCGGUGGCGAAGGCGGCAUCCUGGACCGAGUACUGACGCUGAGGAGCGAAAGCCAGGGGAGCAAACGGG